GAUGAACGCUAGCGACAGGCUUAACACAUGCAAGUCGAGGGGCAGCACAGGUAGCAAUACCGGGUGGCGACCGGCGCACGGGUGAGUAACGCGUAUGCAACUUACCUAUCAGAGGGGGAUAACCCGGCGAAAGUCGGACUAAUACCGCAUGAAGCAGGGGUCCCGCAUGGGGAUAUUUGCUAAAGAUUCAUCGCUGAUAGAUAGGCAUGCGUUCCAUUAGGCAGUUGGCGGGGUAACGGCCCACCAAACCGACGAAGGAUAGGGGUUCUGAGAGGAAGGUCCCCCACAUUGGUACUGAGACACGGACCAAACUCCUACGGGAGGCAGCAGUGAGGAAUAUUGGUCAAUGGCCGAGAGGCUGAACCAGCCAAGUCGCGUGAGGGAUGAAGGUUCUAUGGAUCGUAAACCUCUUUUAUAAGGGAAUAAAGUGCGGGACGUGUCCCGUUUUGUAUGUACCUUAUGAAUAAGGAUCGGCUAACUCCGUG
Molecule: ribosomal RNA, 485 nt
Filed under: uncultured bacterium
Lineage: Bacteria
Description: partial 16S ribosomal RNA
Rfam family: Bacterial small subunit ribosomal RNA
Source: RNAcentral